GCUGUGGCUCAGAGGUAGAGUAUCCGCUUGUCAUGCAGACAAUCCCAAUUUUAAUCCCUGGCAUCUCCA
This 69-nucleotide transfer RNA is filed under the name Sphaerodactylus townsendi. RNAcentral describes it as "tRNA-Asp". It matches the Rfam family "tRNA". From Rfam's summary of the family: Transfer RNA (tRNA) molecules are approximately 80 nucleotides in length. Their secondary structure includes four short double-helical elements and three loops (D, anti-codon, and T loops). The record is from RNAcentral. Lineage: Eukaryota; Metazoa; Chordata; Lepidosauria; Squamata; Sphaerodactylidae.